GAGGAAAAGAAACUAACAAGGAUUCCCCUAGUAACGGCGAGUGAAGCGGGAAGAGCUCCAAAUUUGAAAUCUGGUAGCCUUCGGUUGCCCGAGUUGUAAUCUAGAGAAGUGUUUUCCGUGCCGGCCCAUGUACAAGUCCCUUGGAACAGGGCGUCAUAGAGGGUGAGAAUCCCGUCCUUGACAUGGACCCCCGGUGCUUUGUGAUACACUUUCAACGAGUCGAGUUGUUUGGGAAUGCAGCUCAAAAUGGGUGGUGAAUUCCAUCUAAAGCUAAAUAUUGGCGAGAGACCGAUAGCGAACAAGUACCGUGAGGGAAAGAUGAAAAGCACUUUGGAAAGAGAGUUAAACAGUACGUGAAAUUGUUGAAAGGGAAACGAUUGAAGUCAGUCAUGCUCUUAGGAUUCAGCCGUUCUGCGGUGUAUUUCCUUUGAGUGGGGUCAACAUCAGUUUUGAUCGAUGGAUAAAGGCACGAGGAAGGUAGCACUCUCGGGUGAACUUAUAGCCUCGCGUCAUAUACAUUGAUUGGGACUGAGGAACGCAGCAUGCCUUUAUGGCCGGGAUUCGUCCACGUACAUGCUUAGGAUGUUGACAUAAUGGCUUUAAACGACCCGUC
Molecule: ribosomal RNA, 613 nt
Filed under: Naganishia adeliensis
Lineage: Eukaryota; Fungi; Basidiomycota; Tremellomycetes; Filobasidiales; Filobasidiaceae
Description: partial large subunit ribosomal RNA
Rfam family: Eukaryotic large subunit ribosomal RNA
Source: RNAcentral